This 4347-nucleotide long non-coding RNA is filed under the name Hordeum vulgare. RNAcentral describes it as "long non-coding RNA (HVUL_LNC011515)". The record is from RNAcentral. Lineage: Eukaryota; Viridiplantae; Streptophyta; Magnoliopsida; Poales; Poaceae.
GGGAUUCAACUGUCAUCUCAUAAAUAAUAUUAGAGUUACAUCACGCAUUUAUUCAAACAAGGUAGUUCCACUACGUACAACAAAACAUGAGAAAAGGCUAUGCUACCCCGCAAGCUUGCCGACGAUCACGACCACGCCUCAGUCUUCUGGAUAGUUCACGUACAAGCGGUCGUUCUCUUCAUCGUACUGCCAUGCCAGCUGCGUGCCGUCAGGAUCACCUGUGUCGGGCGUACCUAUACAUGUUGGUGUGUUGAAGUAAUCUGUGAGCCACGGGGACUCAGCAAUCUAUGACCUCGGUGCCAGAACUAUUUAAGUUAUUAGGUAAGGAAGGUUCAGUGUUUAGGUUGCAGCAUCCUAAGCAUUUAUGGUGGCUAAAUUACGUAUAACAAGUGUUAAAGGUGGUCUAUACUAGCGGAUGAAGACUAGCUAAUCAGUAAGUGAUCCUGAACACCUACUUACAUCAAUCAUAACCCCACCGUGUUCCCAACCGAAGAGAGGUCUUCGAGGGGGACAGUCACGGUUACGCACACACUUGGCAAUUUUAUUAGAUUAUGUUCAAGUUAUCUAUAACCGGAUGUUAACAAAUAUUCCAAGUUGCCAAAUAACCGCGGGCACGGCUUUCCAAAAGAUUAAACCCUACAGGGGUGCUCCAACUAGUCCAUCACAAACGGUCACGGGCCGCAAAGUAAUCCUCUAUCACGAAACUCGUGAUCUCGUCUGAUUCCUUAGAGGAAAACCUCAACUAUGGGGUGAACCAAAGCUUCACCGGGAUUCCUAUACGCAAGAUAUAUCACUAAGGUAAGACAACUCUAGCAGGACCUCCCGUCCUGUCGACGACCCCGAUAAGAGCCGUGUAUCUCAGUCUCAGGACACGACGGAUGGAAAAGCCUACAGGAACCAAACCUCAAGUUUCCCUGUGGUGGCCCCGCAGUCUGUCCAUUUUGGACCAACACUCAUGAGGAGCACUGGCCCGGGUUGUUGAUUAAUUCCUUGGGGUAGCUAUUCCCUAUGCAGAUUAUUAUUAAGUGAUUAGCAAAUUAACACCAAUGUUGGGUCUUGCCGGACAAGUCUUAACACUACACGAUUUAUCAAGGGGUCCCCAUAACAACCCCGAACGUGUUAGGAGCGAUCAGUUAUGGAAUCAAACACCGGUAGCCGGAAACUAUGGCGGCAAUAACGGAACAAAACACCCGACAAAAGGCUAGGCCUUCCGUUAUUUACCAAGUAUAUAGGUGUAUUAAUUAAAUAACAGAAUUAACAUAAUGAUACCAAACUCAUGUUAUCACAUGACACAAUUGCACCUGCAACUAGCAACACUAACAUUAGUAGCUGAGCAAAGCCUACUUAGCCAUUCAAGAUUUGCUAGGAAGGGAUAAGUGUUUGGGUUUCAUGGCAAUAUCAGGAGGCAAUUAUUUCAGUGGUAGGCAGCGAGCAUAUGACGAAGGAAACGUGAAUCUAGCAUAACAAGUCUAGAGACGGAAUCAAGGUCAUAUCAUCUUGUGUGUGAUGUCCUCAGCUUGGAACUGCUCUUGUUCGUCCUGCACGUACUCUCUCGGAUCCACGUACUCGCUCUCCGAUCCCGGUGCUACCCAACAUAAGAAUAGCAUCCAAUGAACAACAGCACCACAAGAUGCAACAAGAACAUGAUGCAUGAGAUGAAAUGAAUAUGCAUCUCUAUUCUAGUCACUUGCACAGACAUGAGAAGAAAAUAUAAGUUCCUAGACAGAACUGCACUCUAAGCUAUCUUGACAUGCAUGAGGAUGACAUGAAUAGAUGCGUCACACGAAAACGAUGCAAAAACUUAUGAAGAACGUUACAAACGGAGCUACGGAACAACCGGAAACAUCGGAACAAGAAAUGGAGUCCUACGUAUCAAAUCCAUCACAACACACUCCAAUGGUAUACUUCUUGUAUUCCCAGGUUGCCAAGACAUAAAACAAACAAGUAUGGAUGGGCUGGUGCAAGGAAUCUCACCACACCAUCAACCAUGCACUCACAAGAAUCAAAACAUCAAAACUAUACAAUCUGCCAAAAACAGCAUCAUAGCAGUUUGAGGGCUACAUGCAAAGCACCUACAACCACCCAAAUGUGCCACAUAGGAUAUGUGGAAGAAUCUAUUCAAAAUAUCUACAAGCAUGAGAAAAAAUAUAAUACAAAGGAGUUUCACACAGAAAGAUCUACAGCUGCUAACUUGGACGAAAAUAUCAGUUUUCAGGGACUUAGUGAAAAUCUCAGAUUCUCACUAACUGUUUAUGCUCUGGAGCAUUUUGACAGCACCCAAAACAAUAUAUACAGGAAGCCAAAUGGAAUGAAAAUUGACAGAGAGCUAGACAAACACAAAAGCUACAACUUCCCAGUUGAUUGCAGGGGCUGAUUCCCGACACAUGAACUUCUACAAGCACAACUACAAGGGAAGAAAAUAACAGCAGUCUCUCAAAACUGGAAUUUUCAGCCACUAGGCACAACUUGCAGAUAUGAAGUCCUAAGCAUAAAACAAAACCAACAUGCUACAGAGGGGUUCACCCUCUACUGCCACAACAAGGAAUGAACCUCUUGGGCUCACCACAUCUCAUGGAACCAAGCUCUAAACAUGGAACAAAACAGAAAUAUGGCAUUCCCAGAAAGUGUUCCAAAGUGGAAUCUGAACCCACCAUUGGAUUCCUGGGAUGAUUCUACCCCAAAAACAUAUAUAAUACAUAGGCACUUUCAUAGAACAAUUGGGCACAAAGCUAAGAAGAAGAUUUACAUGGAAUCACAUAGAGAUGAAUAGUGCAUCAUCACAUGUGCUUCCACUAGCUCAUCACCUACACAUGCAUAUGCACACACUCACAUAUCCAAUGAUGCACAUGAGGGGUGGACCUCAUGUUCAUGUGCCUUAGCACACGACCACACACCCACAUACAUCAAGCAUAAACAUAGCAACACCUACACAUGCUAGUAUCACACACACUAGCUUACACUCACAUAAGCAUCUCUACACCUACACAUACUAACUUGCACAUGAGCUUAUCAAGGCACACCAUGCCUUGGCAUGUAUGAGACACACACACACAAGCACACUCAACAUCACUUGAUCCACUAACACACACACAAGGUAUGUGGGGGAAAGCCCCCCCCCCCCACACACACAAGAUCACAUACUAGCACAAGCUAGUGCAUCAGCUCCACAUCAUGCACAUAAGUCACACACACACACACACUCACAUGCAUAACUAUUCUAGUGCAAACCACAAGCUAAUACACACACACAUGCAUGAUAUCUAGCUCACAUAACACAUAUGCACUCAAGCCUACACAAGCAUUUCUACCAUGGUAGCAAAAAUAUACUAGAGACAACAUGCUGUUGUGAGGAGAAAUAAAAAUACCCCACAUGGUGACAAAGCAAGCUAUAGCACCAAGCUUGCAAGCAAAAGGGAAAAUAGCAAGGUAUAAGCAAAAAAACAAAAGGGCUUCGAAGGGAUUCGAACCCAGGUGCCCCUGGACAGACACACACACAAGCUAACCAACCUGCUACUGCACAUAUGCACGUCAGAUCAGGGGAGUUAUACAAAGUAUGCCAUCCCCCUGCGCUGCUGUGGUACUGCGUCGAAACCAGAAUUAAAAAGGGGUUGCUCCGUGGGGUGUCGAUCCCACGACCGCCUGAUCACCACAUCACAUGCAAACCACUGCGCUACUGUAUGAGAAUUGACAGAGGGGAGGGGGUUUCCCUUUUGGGUACCACUCUCUCCUCCUGCAAUAGUGACGAUGCUGCAGUGCUCACCUGAGCAAGGCCUCUACCCUACUGCUGCGCCAGAGGUAAAAAAACUACGGCUACUACUCCUAACACGUUGGAACAACUGCUCUAUGGGAAGCCCCUGAGCACCGACGAGCCGAGCACAACUACACAAAGAACAACCACACACAACAGCACCUGCAAUUCGUGCUCAUCUCUGAACAGAGACACGACAAUGAUCUCCUACUGCGCAUCUACCGAGGGGGAAGGGACGAAGGGAGUAGGCUCACCUAGGGGAAGGAGAAGAGGUCGAUCCGAUCGGAGGGAGAAGCUUGGAGACGAUGCGACGCCGAUCUGAUGCAGACCAAAGUAGGGGAAGAGGAACACCGGGAACACGUCGGAGAAGAGGAACUGCUCGUCGGUGUGGUUGCUCCCCUUCCUCACCGACAACGGGAAUGGAACGCGGGGGCUACCCCCGAGCUCCCGGACAUGCUGGUCGGCGCCGGAGGCGACGUAUGCACGGACGACGACGGUGGCGCGCUACUGUCCUCUCUCUGCAACCUGAUCUACAGAGAGCUUACCUAGGGAGGAAGAAAGAGAUGGAGGGAGGUGGCGGCGCUAGCAGUGGGAAAGGC